GUCCAUUUUCCCUCGAGUUUUAGCCAAAACUCUUGGUUCUGCCAGGCUCAUUCUCUUCCCUGCUGGCUCGUACAGGCAGGGGACAAUCUGCUCCUGCACCUUUAAUUACAGCUCCUGCUGCCAGGAGUCUCAAACACCCACACUGUCUGAGGGAAGGGCUUUGUCCCUCCCUUUGCCAGUCCUCUGCCUCCAAGUGUUUAUUUUCACUGUAUGAUGAAUCCAUUUCCCAAGGAGAUGGGUUUAUGAGCACAUUCAUUCCUCUGGCAGGAGGGAGGAUGGCCUGUCUUGCAUGUUCCCUUCUCUGCUCUCUGUCAGCAGAUACAAAGUGCCAUCCUAAAAGCAUCAGGGAAACCAAGGUUUCUUGACCAUGGCAGUGCCUGGCUGUUUCCCUGGGCUGUGAGGAUUGAAGGGUGAGCUGGGAAGGUACACACUGGUCUUCUCACCAGCAAUACCCCAGUCUUCCCCUCCCCAGCUGCCUGUGCAGGGGCAUCCAGCCCUGGUGAAGCACCUCAUUCCUUGGCUGACCCACGCUGUUUGCUACCUUGUGCCUGCGCUUCGUGUGCAAUGUGUGUGGUACCCAGAGCAGUUCUGCAGGUUCAGAUGAGCAAGAGCUGUUGUGAAAAGCUGUCCUGGCCUUCUAUGUUCUCAGCAGAGAGGCAGUGUGACUCCAGGCUCCCUGAGAUUAGUGUUUUGCAAGAUUAAGGUUCCUUUCAUCACUGCUUUUACAAUUUGCUUGGUUUCUCAGUUCCACAGUAGGACCACAGCCACUUUGGCAUCUCCUCCCUGUGCAGCAGUCUCUUCCAGUGUGAAAACCUGGCCCUUUCUGAGCAGCCCCAGUAUUUCUUCCCCUUGUUGUACUUUUAUUGGAUCUAUUUUGAAAGCAAACAUUAGUACUAAUCUUUCUUCCUGGGGGCAAAGGGAACAUUUUGCACUGAACACACAUCCUGGGCUGUGAGAAUGCUGUCCUUUGGCAGCAGGGGUAGCUAGACCCUCUUGCCAAGACAUUUCUGUGGGUCACCAGGGACACAGGGCACCCAGGGGAACCUGUAGGUGAUUUUUGUCACAUUCCAGAGUAGGGCAGCAAUAUUCCACCCAGCACUGGCUCUUGGGAGAUGCACUACAGCUGUUCCUCAAGGGCUCCAGCUGCAGCUGGUGGCACGGGCAGAUCCCGUGGCACCUCUGCUCUCUCUCGCAGCCUCGGUCGAAGGACUGAGGCUUGUAUUUGCCUGGCACAGAACAAAGUAUGGCCAGCCCAGCUGGGAGCACAGUCACUUCUCCAGUGACACAGCCUGGGUCUCGACAGAGCAGUGCAUGCUGGAAACUGGGGUUUACACGACUUGGAAGUAAAGUGAUAAGUGGUAAGCGUUGUAAGAGCAGAACACAACCCUGAUUCCCCUGAAUCUGGCAGUGGGUGUUCGCUGGAAUUGCUGUGUGUAAAGGUGAUGAAUCAUGCAGAGUAUUUUAGUGGGUACCAAGCUUUUAUAAACUUUCUUCAUCAUGAAAAAAGUGGAUUUGCUGCUUCUCCGUGCAUGCAAUUUCAGUUUUUCCCAUUUUCUCACCCUCCCAGUGGCAGGAGCAUACAACUGAAUUUCUGUGCAAUAUUGCCAGUGCCAGGGAGAGCGGAUUGGGAAAUAUUUAAUUGUUUACUGUCCUUGGUAAGGUCAUUUUUGCACAAGUGCAUUACAGAUAUAUGAGAUCCGAAGAGGACAC
Empidonax traillii (willow flycatcher) is the source of this 1710-nucleotide long non-coding RNA. RefSeq lists it as uncharacterized. The transcript is spliced from 3 exons. Lineage: Eukaryota; Metazoa; Chordata; Aves; Passeriformes; Tyrannidae. The record is from RefSeq and is a predicted model, not a curated record.